RNAcentral lists this small nuclear RNA (60 nucleotides) under Eremothecium gossypii ATCC 10895. Its description in RNAcentral is "AgSNR33 (AGOS_AgSNR33)". The record is from RNAcentral. RNAcentral also lists the same sequence under 1 other name. Lineage: Eukaryota; Fungi; Ascomycota; Saccharomycetes; Saccharomycetales; Saccharomycetaceae.
ACACGAGUUUGAGUUGGCCGCGCAGCUUCCACUGGCGGUCGAUAUAGAAAUGUGUGCACA